AAACGAGUCAGGUGCUGCAGAGACGCAGGCGACACAAACAAUGGAGCCAGAAAUGUCCCUUCCAAUGUGAGCUGAUGCUCCUGCUCACGCGUUAUUCGGGGAGAGAGGGAAGACCCCACUUCACCCCUUCUUAAUGCCACACACAUCAGCUACACCUCCUUUUUCACAAUUAUCCAAGCAGACCAGCCCUCCUUAAGAUCUAUUUCCCAAUGUAUGCUUAUAAAAUCGCACUAUUAUCUCUGAUCUAAUCCUCGUGAUAGGAGCCCUCUGCCUUUAGCUAACUUCUGAUUUUCUCUCCAGCUCCUCCUGCCUGCCACCGCAUUCUCAGCUUUCUAACAAAACCAAACCAAACCCCUUCUGAUUUGCUAUGUUUACCAUCCACUGGAAUCACCAUUUGAGCUAGCCUUGAUGAGAAGAAGAGAAUGCCAGCACUAUCUUACUCUCGCAAGCAUUUGUUUUACUGUGAAACUAUUACAGAGAAGCGAUUUGGAAACUGUAUGUGAAUCCAGGGGCUGAAACGGUGCCAAGACAGACUUAAAAGAAUUCAGUGUUCAGAGCAGGAAAACCUGAAAAACUGCAAUGAGGAGUUAGCAGGAAAAGAAAAUGAAAAACUUAGGCAAACCCUUGCCAGCUCUGCAAACUACAAGGGA
This 650-nucleotide long non-coding RNA is filed under the name Bos taurus (domestic cattle). Its description in RNAcentral is "long non-coding RNA NONBTAT005836". Lineage: Eukaryota; Metazoa; Chordata; Mammalia; Artiodactyla; Bovidae. The record is from RNAcentral.